UGGCGCAGCCCGGUUAGCGCACCGGUCUGGGGGACCGGGGGUCGGAGGUUCGAAUCCUCU
RNAcentral lists this transfer RNA (60 nucleotides) under Hyphomonadaceae bacterium. RNAcentral describes it as "tRNA-Pro". It matches the Rfam family "tRNA", at positions 8 to 63 of the family's 71-position model. Rfam says of the family: Transfer RNA (tRNA) molecules are approximately 80 nucleotides in length. Their secondary structure includes four short double-helical elements and three loops (D, anti-codon, and T loops). The record is from RNAcentral. Lineage: Bacteria; Pseudomonadati; Pseudomonadota; Alphaproteobacteria; Hyphomonadales; Hyphomonadaceae.